RNAcentral lists this ribosomal RNA (504 nucleotides) under uncultured bacterium. Its description in RNAcentral is "partial 16S ribosomal RNA". It matches the Rfam family "Bacterial small subunit ribosomal RNA", at positions 899 to 1397 of the family's 1533-position model. The record is from RNAcentral.
ACUCAAAUGAAUAGACGGGGGCCCGCACAAGCGGUGGAGUAUGUGGCUUAAUUCGAUGCAACGCGAAGAACCUUACCUAGGCUUGACAUGCAUCGCUAAGUUGGUGAAAGCCAGCGAGCCCCGCAAGGGGCACUUUGCACAGGUGCUGCAUGGCUGUCGUCAGCUCGUGUCGUGAGAUGUUGGGUUAAGUCCCGCAACGAGCGCAACCCUUAUGAACUGUUGCCAUUGGCCUAAAGCCUGGCUCUCUGUUCAGACCGCCCUGUGAAACGGGGAGGAAGGUGGGGAUGACGUCAAGUCAGCAUGGCCCUUACGCCUAGGGCUGCACACGUACUACAAUGCCCAGUACAGAGGGAGCCGAGCCGGCGACGGUAAGGAAAUCCCAAAAAACUGGGCUCAGUUCAGAUUGCAGGCUGCAACUCGCCUGCAUGAAGCUGGAAUCGCUAGUAAUGCCGCAUCAGCUACGGCGGCGUGAAUACGUUCCCGGGCCUUGCACACACCGCCCGU